GAUGAAGAACGUAGCGAAAUGCGAUACGUAAUGUGAAUUGCAGAAUUCAGUGAAUCAUCGAGUCUUUGAACGCACAUUGCGCCCCCUGGUAUUCUGGCGGGCAUGCCUGUCCGAGCGUCAUUUCAACCCCUCAAGCCCUGCUUGGUGUUGGGGCCCCCUACGUGCGCCGUAGGCCCCGAAUUCCAGUGGCGGGCUCGCCGCGAACCCGAGCGUAGUAGCUUUUGCCUCGCUCAGGGCCCGCGGCGGGCGCCUGCCGUGAAAGAACCCACUAUUCUAAAGGUUGACCUCGGAUCAGGUAGGAAUACCCGCUGAACUUAAGCAUAUCAAUAAGCGGAGGA
Molecule: unclassified non-coding RNA, 338 nt
Filed under: soil metagenome
Description: partial contains 5.8S ribosomal RNA, internal transcribed spacer 2, and large subunit ribosomal RNA
Rfam family: 5.8S ribosomal RNA (bases 1-120)
Source: RNAcentral